Molecule: long non-coding RNA, 395 nt
Organism: Amphimedon queenslandica
Lineage: Eukaryota; Metazoa; Porifera; Demospongiae; Haplosclerida; Niphatidae
Exons: 3
Source: RefSeq, a predicted model, not a curated record
AUAUAUAAGGAAUAUGGUACAGGUUGAAUUCAUACAUUUGCUCCAAUUGAAACGACCAGAGGCUUAUCAAAACCACAAAGACUAUGUGUUAAAGUGACCUUUCCUUUAUCACUAUACCUAGGAAGAAAGUCAUUGAUGGUUUAAUAUUCUUAAGUAAGGUUUAUGGUAUAUAUAAGGAAUACGGUAGAGGUUGAAUUCAUACAUUUGCUCUAAUUGGAAUGACCGGAGGCUUAUCAAAGUCACAAAGACUGUGUUAAGGCAAUCUGCGCUUGAUAUUUUGUCAAUCUCCUGCAUACAUAAGUCUCUCUGGCAUUUGACUGAACAAUUAAAUUUGUGCUUUAGUAUGGAAUUUAUAUAGUAUUAAACUACACAGUCAACAGUACUUUAAAGAGAGA